UAAUAAUUAUUUCAAUGUUUUGGUUUUUCACCUUGAUUUCCUCAUUUUUGGUUUCGGCCACAAAUUUUAAUUUUGGUGCAUCCCUAAUGUUUAAGAAUGGCAUAAAGAGAACAUAGGCGUUGAUGCUACAUAGCCACAUUUAUUGGUUGAUCCAAAUUAUAACAUAUAUUACUUAGUGUUUAAUCCCUUCGCCAAAAUUAAUGAAAGAUCUUGGCGUGAGACCAUCUGAAGAGCCUUGCAUUUUUUAUGCACACGUGCCAACAACGGAACCACUGAGCUUUUUUCUUUGAGGACUAAAGGGUUUCCGGUGGAACAAAAGCAGAACAGGUGCAAGGACUGGACUAAUUGCACAGUAGGUGGCGGUAAUGCACCUUCAGUUGGUUGCCACCCGCCAUUUAGACGGACAUGAGAAGAAGAAGAAGAACUGGACUAAUUAAGUUUGCAACUUCCAGCUUUGUUUAUGAGCCAACCAUCCACUCUGAAUCAAGGGCUUCUGACGUUCUGGUGCCGCUCGUAAAGAUGCCGAAUCCUUAACCGGACACACUGACCGGAAACGACAUAAAACAGGGGUACUCUCACCGGGGGUGGCUGACAAGCAACGACUGUGGCUUACCUCAUACUGUGAGUGCUACUCUUCUUUAAUCUUCCUUCCUCUAUUUUCUGUGUUUCUCUCCCCUCUUAUCUUAAUUUUUCUUAACUCUGGCAUGUUAAAACCUUCCUUUCCAUCUUGACUGCUGCGCUAAUCCUCCAGCAGGUUUUUGGGGUGCCACGCUGUUUUGGGGGCUCUUUUAGUGACACUACGGUUUUGUGUAGUAAUGUCUGCAAACACCUGUCCAAUUAGACUGAUUGUGAUGCUCUUCAAACUACCAGACAGAUCCCAUGGUGUGGCAUGGAGAUUUAGCAAAGCGCACUAAAUACUUCUGCUCUUGUCAGAUGUUUAUAGCAGUUUUUGUGACAAAUGUCUUUCCGUAAAUCCAGGUUUAGUGAGGGGUAAUUGAAGGGACUCCAGGAACGUUCUGUCAGAAAAGGACAAAAGUCUUUCUGCAAAAUUUAAGUUGAAGUGUUGGUUUGCUGUGUGUCCAAAAAGGGAGUAAAUUAUGGGUUGUCCGUGGUUUAUGGGAGGGUAGAAAAUUGCUAGAAGUUCAAGUUCAAACACAUCUAAACUUAAAAGUGCUGCACUGGCUUUGUUAUACUUGGGUUUUUAUCUAAAUGUUCCUAAAGAAAGGUUGAUGUGACAGGACACUGUUGGCAAAAGUCAGUAGCUUAUAGCUCUCAUUCACUUGUUGUUUUAAUAAAUCUGCCAUGGCUUCUAGUAUGAUUGAAUGUCUUGUGAGUUGUUUUCAGUGGGGAAAAAAGCUCCGGCGCUCCUGUUUCAGGAAAUGAAAGUGAGAAGCGGGGGUAGAAAAUGGCAGGAUUUGGAGUCUUUAUUAAUAAUAUUCAUGAUAUUCAAACAUCUCGCCCCUGAUUGGCUAACAGUUACCCAACUCUUCCACUGCCUCUGUUCACUGUUCAAUGCUGACGUUUUAUCUCUACUUAGGGCUGCUCAGUUAAUCGAAUUUUUAUCCCAAUUACGAUCUGAGUUUUGAACGAUUAUGAAAGCAAAACAAGACGAUUAUUUGCUCCUCCCUCUUGCGCUGCCCCAAGUUGUAAAUCAAGCACUCCUCCCACAGUAUUGCCAACUUAGCGACUUUGUCGUUAUUUCCAACAGCUUUUCAGACGCCCUUCUUGACUUUUUAAAUCUUAAAAGUACCCAGCAAACACCCCAGAACCAUUUCUGGUAACCCUUAGCUACUUUCUGGAAAACUGUCAUUGGCAUUUCCUGCAAGUUAGCAAAACACUCCGCCUGCACUCCAGACGGUCCUUCAGGACAUUAGGAAAGGGAAUGAUGUGUGAUGUGUCGGUCACUAAAGAAACGGCUCUCAGAGCUGGCUCCCUCUUGAAUUAACCGGAGUGAGCGACACACACACACUGCACCUGAAGGCUCCUGAGCCGCUAAAAACGGCAAAAUGUGCGCGUACGGCGCCUGAAACACACGCGCAGCUUGCCCCUGAUGGUUGUGAGUCUGGGUUGAGGAGUGGGAGGUGCAGCGCACCUCCGAUUGCUGUGGUUGGGACAAUUAUUAACAUUAACUGAUGGGACCUGUAAAUAAAUAGUUUAUAAAUAAGGUAGAAAUAGAUAGAAAUAAGUUCCUCGCACUGAUGAAUAAUAAUUAAUCUCUCUGAGAUGGAGGACAUGUUGCUAGUGCACUCUCCUAGCACCUUGACGGGACUAAAUAAAUAUUAUGCAACAUUGUGUGAACAUCACUAAACAUAUGUUUAUAUGUUUUUUUUAAUUUAUGUUAUAAAGGCCACAAGUUAUUGGUAUUUAGGUCUGUACUGGUUAGGUGUAAAUGAGUUAAACCAAGCCCUUGGGUCAUAAACUAUGAGCAAGUAUAUUGGUGUUUUUAUACUAGGAGUCAGGAGUUAUUGUCCUGAUUGUGCCCUGUGCAAUUUUAUGACAGAAUAAAAACAAACAAUCAACAUUAAUCAUCUUAAAUAAUCGAGAUCUCAAUUUCAGUCACAAUUAUCACAAUUAUAAUUUUUGUCAUAAUCGAGCAGCCUUAUCUCUACAUAUAUCCAUCCAUCCAUUUUCAUCCGCUUAUCCGGAGUCGGGUUGCGGGGGCAGCAGCCUAAGGUGAGAGGCCCAGACUUCCCUCUCCCCAGCCACUUGGGCCAGCUCCUCCGGGGAAAUUCCAAGACGUUCCCUGGCCAGGUGAGAGACAUAGUCCCUCCACCGUGUCCUGGGUCUACCUUUAGGCAUCCUGACCAGAUUCCCGAGCCACCUCAACUGGCUCCUCUCGAUGUGGAGGAGCUACUUCAAACCUCUCCCGGAUGACCGAGCUUCUCACCCUAUCUCUAAAGGAAAGCCCAGCCACACUUCGGAGAAAACUA
Molecule: non-coding RNA, 2930 nt
Organism: Nothobranchius furzeri (turquoise killifish)
Lineage: Eukaryota; Metazoa; Chordata; Actinopteri; Cyprinodontiformes; Nothobranchiidae
Source: RefSeq, a predicted model, not a curated record